UAAGUAGGUAGUGAAAGCGUUCGGCUCAACCGGAUAUCCAUUACCUAAACUGCUAAGCUAGAGGAUGAGAGAGGUUAUUGGAAUUCCCUGUGUAGGAGUGAAAUCCGUAGAUAUAGGGAGGAACACCGAUGGCGUAGGCAGAUAACUGGCUCAUUCCUGACACUAAGGCACGAAAGCGUGGGGAGCAAACGGGAUUAGAUACCCCGGUAGUCCACGCCGUAAACUAUGGAUGCUA
Molecule: ribosomal RNA, 235 nt
Filed under: uncultured Candidatus Saccharibacteria bacterium
Lineage: Bacteria; Candidatus Saccharimonadota
Description: partial 16S ribosomal RNA
Rfam family: Bacterial small subunit ribosomal RNA
Source: RNAcentral